RNA transcript from Mus musculus (house mouse), 6933 nucleotides. It is a transcript of the gene named ferric-chelate reductase 1, with no coding region annotated. Lineage: Eukaryota; Metazoa; Chordata; Mammalia; Rodentia; Muridae. The record is from RefSeq and is marked validated. The transcript is spliced from 17 exons.
CACAGCUAAGGCUGCUGCACAGAGAAACCCGGUCUCAAAACAAAAACAAAGGGGGCGGAGGUGGUCCUGUAAAUUCUCACGGUGAACUUCAAUUCUAUAUUUAGCCAGUCAUUAAAAAGCAAACCAAACCAAGCCAUCAGCAUGCCUGUGGUACUGCGUACUUCAGUACUCACACUGCUAACUGAAAUUGCAGUGGAACUGGGUAUCCUACUUAUUUGCUGAAUAUGGCUACCUCGCUCAGGCAGGAGGAGCAGGUGCCUUUGUCUUUGAGUCACAGGCAACAGGUAUGCAUUCAAAUAGGCUGGUAGAGAAAACCAAGGAAAGUGUAAUUUGCUCAGUGCAACAGUAGCUAGUGAGUUAAAAACACGCAGAGCGUUUUUAUUUUUUAGAAACAGAACCCUUCUAGUUUCACAUGUGCAGUCCUAAAGCCCAUCCCGGGCUCGGAAACCAGGUAGGGCAGCUUGGGUCGCCAGCCUUCCCUGCCGGUUUCCCAGUAAGCUGGCUCCGCCUAGUUGCAGCUCCGCGGUACCCGCCGGAGCCAAGCCGGAAGUUGCUCAGGCUGCCUCUGCUGCUCAAGAUCUCAUGGAUCACGUAGUCUAGGCUGGCUUCAGAUUUGCUGUGUGGCUGAGGAUGACCCUGGACCUCUGACCUUGCCACCUUCAUCUGGUGACGUGUCCUCACUUGGGAAUGGCGGCUCCCCAGAUCACCCUCAGUGUCCUUGUGAUUGCCUUGCUCACUUGCUCUGUGACUGCUUAUCCCAAUGGCAAAGUACCAAUGUCCUGUGGUGGGAUGAUCCCCCAACAUAACCACAGCCCACAGUCUGAGCCUAUUCACCAAAUCACAGUGAGUCAGACGACGUUCAAACCUGGAGACCAGAUCAAAGUUACUUUAUCAGGACCACCAUUUAGAGGCUUUCUUUUGGAAGCUCGUGAUGCUGAGAAUUUGAGCGGCCCUCCUAUUGGCUCCUUCACUCUGAUUGACAGCGAAGAGUCACAACUUCUGACCUGUACCGAUGUACAGGGAUUAGCUGUGAGUCAUACAAGGUCAUCCAAGAAGACAGAAAUUAAAGUCUACUGGGAUGCUCCAAGCCCUGCCCCAGAUCACAUACGAUUUCUAGCUACAGUUGUUCAGAAAUUUAAAAUCUACUGGGUGAAGAUUCCGAGUCCCGUAAUUUCCCAACCAAAUGCUCCUCCCUUUACGACACCUAAAGCUACAACCCAACCUUUGACAACGCCACCUUCUGUCUCACACUUAACCAAACCAUUCAGUGCCUUCGAGUGUGGGAACAAGAAGUUCUGUGUCAGGAGUCCUUUGAACUGUGAUCCAGAGAAGGAGCCUGCAUGCGUCUUCCUGUCCUUCACCAGAGACAACCAGUCAGUGAUGGUUGAAAUGAGCGGACCCAGUGACGGCUAUGUGUCGUUUGCAUUUUCUCACGACCAGUGGAUGGGUGACGAUGAUGCUUACUUGUGCAUCCGUGAGGACCAGACAGUAGAUAUACAGUCUUCCUACUUGACAGGGAGAAGUUAUCCUGUGAUGGACUCCAGGGGGACUCUGGAGGACAUGGCCUGGAGGCUGGCGGACAGCGUCAUACAGUGUUCAUUCAGAAGAAACAUCACCCUUCCUGAGGCUAAGAACAGAUUUGUGCUGAAUGAGAGCUACUACAUAUUCUUCGCAGAAGGCCCGUCUCACGACGGCCGAAUAUUUAGGCACUCUCAGCAACCUUUGAUAACAUAUGAAAAAUACAACGUAACAGACACUCCAAAGAGUGUAGGAGGGUCCCGCUCCUCACCCCUUUUGAAGGCUCAUGGUGCCUUAAUGUUUGUGGCAUGGAUGACCACGGUCAGCAUUGGAGUCCUGGUUGCCCGGUUCUUCAGAUCUGUUUGGUCGAAAGCUUUCUUCCUCAGGGAAGCAGCUUGGUUUCAGGUGCAUCGGAUGCUCAUGGUAGCUACCUCCCUGCUCACCUGCGUUGCUUUUGUUUUGCCCUCUGCUGGCAACCUUCAGACCACCUUUACACGACCCAAGGAGGCAAGUGUUUAACUGGACUCACUGGAGUGUGGGGACAGCCGCUAGAAUAAUAGCAGUGGCAGCAAUGUUCCUAGGAAUGGAUUUGCCAGGACUGAAUCUUCCCAGUCCACAGAAGACCUACGCAAUGAUGGGCUUUGUGGUCUGGCACAUCGGGACUGAGGUCAUUCUGGAGAUACAUGCUUACCGUCUCUCUAGAAAAGUUGAAAUACUGGACAACGAUAGGAUUCAAAUCCUUCAGUCACUGACUGUCGCAGAAGCAGAGGGUCAUGUUUUUAAGAAGGUGGUGUUGGCCGUUUACAUAUGUGGGAAUGUGAUUUUUCUCUCGAUAUUCUUAUCUGCAAUCAACCACAUAUGAGCACAAAAAGACUUUUAUUUUUUAUUUUUUGUGGGCCUGGGUCAUGAUGAUCAUUAAAAUGAGGAGAGACCUGAAGCUUGUGCCGACCACCUGCAGCACCUACUAAGUCCGAAGACCCAUGGGCAUCGCUAUCGAGGAACGCUGAAGUCUGGGUUUCCCAGCUCACAUUCAAGUGGGCUAAAUAACCUGGGCCUUUAUGUGUAAUUCUGCAUCCCUAAGGGAACAUUGUACCUGAGAUGACAUGACUCUCAGCAUCUCAUGCCAGAUUUAAAACUGUAAACUGGAAUGGAUAGCAGAUGAAGACAAUUAUCUCAGGCAAAAAAAAAAAAAAAAAAAAAAAAGAAAGAAAGAAAGAAAGAAAGAAAGAAAAAAGAGAAAAGAAAGAAUAAAUGGAGAUUGUGUCUUUGGGAAUGAGACAGGUUUGGUGUAGCCCAGGCUGGCCUUUAACCAGUUGUAUAACCAAAGAUAACCCUGAACCUCUGAUCUGCCUGCCUCUGUUUCCUGGGUGGUUUACAGGUGUGCACCACUAUAUCUGGUUUUAAGGGAACUGUAAUUUUCAUGACGAUGCUGCUAUGGUACUUUAAAGACUACAUUUAUGUUUGACUAGUUUAUUUAAAAGAUUUUGUCUUAGAGUUUAAAAAAAAAUUACUACAUUUUGAUUUUAUGCGCACACACACACAGACACACAGACACACACACACACAGACACACACACACACACACACACACACCAAACAAGUAAAACCUACAAGAAAAAAAACUAAACACGUUUUCCGACCAGCAGUUAGGAGAUUUUCUCCUUUGUGUUCAGUAUUUCUGUCUAAAGGUAGCUGUUGAUUUAUUCAGUGGGCAUUUCCUUAACAUGUAGUUAUAUUACGGAUACUAUAUUUCCUUUAGCAGUUAAAUGCAGGUAGGUGCCCCUGAUUAGAGAUCUCAUUUAUUUUUCCUUUGUGGAGCUGAAACGACAUCUUAUGUCCUGUUUCAGCCGUGAGAUCAGUCCUUAUAGGAGCUAGAACAAAGCUGCGAAUCUCUCAGUUGCUAAACCUCACCCUUGUGAACGGAUCCAGCAAGUGUUCUUGUCUCUUGAAGAUACACUAACAUGGAUGGGUUCCUUUGGAAGACAUCCCUGGUGCUCUAGUGACAGCACAGGCCGUGUGUUUCCUCCUACUCCGUAUUUUCUAUCUCUGCUGUGAGGACUUACAGCCAGUGGGUGGCGCUGUAAUACCGGAGGACUCAUUUGUUCUGUUGCCACUAAGUGUUUUUAUUAUGGGACUAUUUCCUUACAUCAUAUGCUCUGAAUUCUCUCUCUCUCUCUCUCUCUCUCUCUCUCUCUCUCUCUCCCUCCCUCCCUCCCUCCCUCUCCCUCUCCCUCUCCCUCUCCCUCUCCCUCUCCCUCUCUCUCUCUCUCUCUCUCUCUCUCUCUCUCUCUCUGUAAUAGGUGCUAGAAACUUAAUGACUGGUGUUAAUACUUUCUGACUUAACUUUUAUUUGUUUUCUUUGAUUAUUUAUAAUGACUGUUUGAUAUUUUCUUUUGUAUCCUUCUGACCCUGCUGCAAAUGAAGAUAAUUUUCUUAGGCAAAGGAAACAAGCAAAAUAAUUGGUAGAAUAUAUUUUAUUUUUCAGAUACUUUUUCAGCUGAUGAUAUCAUUUCUGCUUGGCCCCAGAACCCCAUCUUCAUCUCUGAGUAAUGACCCCAGCUCCAUGCUUUUAUUUCUAACCAAUAAAGUGAAAACGUUCUGAUUUUCUCUACAUAGAUUUUAGCUAAAAAUAGCACAGGGUUCAGGUAGGAAUUUCCUGUGCUCAUGGUCAAUGAAUGGCACAUUACGGUUUAUACUAUCCCUUGAGAAUGAAUUUAUUUCAAAAGAAAAAGGUCUGGAGAUGUGGCUCAGUGGCACCGUGCUUGAGCAGAGUGUGUGAAGCCAUGCCUCCAUCCUCACACUGGAGAAAUGACACAGCAACAAUUUAAAUCUAUAUGAAAAAAAUUUCUUUCAGUUUUCCAUUGUAAGCCACUAAAGGCUAAAACAUAUGUCUUAACCAGUCCUGUUCAAUAACAGACAAGGAAAAGUUCUUUUCAGGAAAGGGUUUCCACCUUUUUUGUUAAGGUUUGCUUAGGUACAGUUUGCAGAUAGGUGAACUUGCUGGACUUCUGAUGCCAAGGGCAAUAUAAUGCAUUUUUCAAAAGAAAAAUUUUUUUUAUUAGUCCUUUAAGAUGGAGGUGUACCCUCUCAGAGGUGAAGGGGAGAUGGGAUGAGAGGAGGAACCCUGUGAGGAGAGGCUUGGGGGGGGGGAGCAGCAUUUGGGAUGUAAAUACAUAAAUUAAAUUGAAGAAAAAGGAUUUUACAUAACGGACAGCUGGGUGUGGAUCCCAGAUCUUGGGAGGCAGAGGCAGGAGGAUCUCUGUGUGUUCAAGGCCAAUCUGGUCUAUAAGAGAGUUUCAGGACAGCCAGGGCUGUUACACACAGAAGCCCUGUCUUGGAAAAAGACAACCAUAAAGAGAAAAAAGAGUUUCAUAUAAUGUAUUUUGAUCAUAUUCACCUCAGUUCCACCCACACCUCCCCUAACUUCCCUAAUUCCAAACUGUAUGCCAUAUUAUCAUUAUUUUUUAAAAACAAUUUAUGCUGUCUACACUCUCUGGGUUUCCGGCUGUCCUCCAAGGAGCAAGGUCAAUUUUUUCCAAGCCACACCCUCCCAAAGAAAAUGGACUCACUCCCAUGAGAAGCCAUCAACUGUCCUUAGGUCCUCAGGUAGGGGUGGGGUUAGAGACCCCUUCCCACUCCACGCUAGAAUGUGGAUUAGCUUGGCCUUGCCCAGGCGUUACGCAGGCAGCCACAGUGGCUGUGAGCUCACAGUGAAGAGAUCCUGCCAGCUCCCGAAACAGUUUCCACCCUGUGCCUUUCUUUCCAGCCUCUGGCGCUCUUACAGGCUCUGCGUCUCCUCUGACGCGGUCCCCGGGCUUUGGGAAAGGGUGUGAUAUAGAUGCCGGACUCGUGACUCAUCACUGCACAGAUGCUUUGACCGGCUGUGAGUUCCUGCACAGCAUCUUUUUUACGGAGUGGUAUUUGCUCGGGUUUACUCCUCCAUCAAAGUGUGCAAGGAAACCCGUGCCACUUAAUCUUAGCAUGCCCGUUUCCCUUAGGAACGAACACGUCACGGCUCGUCUGCUCCGUGUGUUUCUCAUUUUUGUAAUAAACAACCUAGGUUUUUUUUUUUUUUUGAAAAAAGUAUUCAUAUACUUUUUUAAAAACAGCAAUUGUUAAACUAAAUGAUUUUUUUCUGUGUCUAGGCAUAUUGUCAAAAACAGUGAAAUCAUGUUCUCUUAAAGAAGGGAUACUCUGCAGAAUAGAGAUUAAUAUAUUUUUCACAGGAUAAAAGAAAUAGUCUGGAAAAUCAUGGUUAAGUUAGCAUGCAGAAACUGAGUCUGUUUUGGUUUUGUUAGCUUCUGGUCUGCGGAGGUCAAGCCAGGGCACAGAUGGCCUAUACCUUUAUUGACUACGUGAAUCACACUCUUGUUAGUACUACUCAAUUUGUGUGAGGAUCUGGGGCUGUAGGUUAGAUGAUAACUCAUCCUUCCCGGAUCCGGCACCAGCCCAGGAGGCUGUGGGAAGGACAGCGCAGCAGAUGCCAACUGGGAAGCCGUGGGGGCCGUGUGGCUCUUGGCUCUAACUCUGUUUAUCUAUGUAUUCUACUGAAGCAGGGGGAAAUGGGGAACAAAGGGCCUUGUUCAAGAUAAUCCAUUAUUAAUGCAACUGGAGAAACGGUUCUUUUAUGUUCUUUAUGAACUGGAUCAGCCUUCUCAAAGCUCCCAUGUCCUUCCUUCCUUGUCUAACCCCGGCCAUACUCAUUCCUAGGCCCACAGCGUUGUGGGUGCUAACCUUUCCAUUCUCAUCCUAGCCAGAACCAGAUUCAUGCUUUCUUUCCUUUCAUCUUCCUGGUUCCUCCUUGUCCUGUUCCCGGCACUGAUCCAUCUUUGUAAGUGGGUGAUGGGAAGGGAGGCAGAUACUACUGUAAGUUAGAAAGGCCCAGGAGCUGGGAGGCCCGAGUAGCCACAGUUACUUCUGAAUUCCAUGUUUGUGGCAAUGGCAUCUGUCUCCUAAGAGUCCUCUUUGUCAUCUUCAACAAUCUAUCCCACUAAACUUCUGAGUGAAAUGAUACCAGCCAAAGGUGCUCGCUUUGUACAUGUUGCUGGUAAGGUCUUUGCCACUUGAUGACGAUGUUAAACUAUAACAGUUUUGCAUGUGAAAUGUGUAUUUUUUUAUUAUUAUAAGAAUAUAUGAUGCUUAUCUUAAAUAUUGUGCUAGAUGAAAUUGUCCAGACACACAGGACAGUUCUUAUAUGAUUCUCAUGUGUGGGAUCCAGCAGGAUCAACUGUGUGGAGAAUUCAGGUCAUUGAGUGGAGCCUGGGUAGCUAGGGGGUGGGAGUUGUUUCUUAACGAGAGUAAAGUUUGUGUCGGGGAAGUGACGAUCGUACAGCGUUCUGAACGUAUUCAACGAACAGUUCUGCACGGAGAGAUGAUUGACAUGGGAAUAAACCAAUAAAAGCUGAGCAAAACGUU